This 579-nucleotide long non-coding RNA is filed under the name Ornithorhynchus anatinus (platypus). RNAcentral describes it as "lncRNA (ENSOANG00000050779.1)". The record is from RNAcentral. Lineage: Eukaryota; Metazoa; Chordata; Mammalia; Monotremata; Ornithorhynchidae.
GCCUGGUCCCCGCCCCCACCCUAGUCCCCCUCCUCCAUGGAGGCCUCUGUUCUUUCCUCCCAGGAGGCUGCUGACCCCACCCUGCCCUCAGCCUAAGUGUUCCUGCUCCAGCCUAGGAGAUGAGCAACUCCUGGUCGGUCCUGGCUCCUGUUUGGCCCCCACCCUAAUCAGCUGCUCCCAAUUAAGCUCUCUGACCCAUAUAAACCUCCAGGAAAGUGGCCACCUUUAUGGAGCUCCUUCUUCUGCUUAGCUGAAGAGCAGCUUUCCUUUCUGGGGUGUGGGGAGGAGUUAUGUUGGGGGUUUCUUUGUUCUUUUUUGGGGGAGAGCUUCUGUUCUGGCUGAAUGUGUAAUCUUGGCCCCAGCUGUUUUGUGGACCAAGAGUCCGGGGGUGACUUGCCUGUUUUUCACCAACCCCCACAGCAGUACAGAGACCAAGCUAUUUUUUCUUCAGGAAGCAGCAUGGUGUAGGGGAUAGAGUAUGGGCCUGAAAGUCAGAAGGACCUGGAUUUGAAUUUCCACUCUUCUGGCCUACUGUGUGACCAUGGGUAAGUGACUUAACUUCUCUGGUCUCCAAGCAUC